AGCAGUCGCCGCGGUAAUACAGAGGGUGCAAGCGUUAAUCGGAAUUACUGGGCGUAAAGCGCGCGUAGGUGGUUUGUUAAGUUGGAUGUGAAAGCCCCGGGCUCAACCUGGGAACUGCAUCCAAAACUGGCAAGCUAGAGUACGGUAGAGGGUGGUGGAAUUUCCUGUGUAGCGGUGAAAUGCGUAGAUAUAGGAAGGAACACCAGUGGCGAAGGCGACCACCUGGACUGAUACUGACACUGAGGUGCGAAAGCGUGGGGAGCAAACAGGAUUAGAUACCCGAGUAGUCCCUGUCUCUUAUAC
Molecule: ribosomal RNA, 303 nt
Filed under: uncultured bacterium
Lineage: Bacteria
Description: partial 16S ribosomal RNA
Rfam family: Bacterial small subunit ribosomal RNA
Source: RNAcentral